UAGGGCGGAGGGAAGCUCAUCAGUGGGGCUACGAGCUGAGUGCGCUUAGUCACUCUAUCCGAUGUCCCUUGGGAAGGUCUGAGACUAGGGCCACGGGCGGCCCUAACAGGGCCCUCCCUGAGAUUCGGGGAGGUGAGUUCCCAGAGAACGGGGCUCCGCGCGAGGGCAGACUGGGCAGGAGAUGCUAUGGACCCCGCCCUUGCGGAGGGGCCUGGCGGAUGCCUCCUUAGCCGGAGCUUGGAACAGACUCACGGCCAGCGAAGUGAGUUCAAUGGCUGAGGUGAGGUACCCCACCCCGCGUGGGGGUCUCAUAACCCAAUUCAAACUACUCUCC
Molecule: RNase P RNA, 334 nt
Filed under: Ovis aries (sheep)
Lineage: Eukaryota; Metazoa; Chordata; Mammalia; Artiodactyla; Bovidae
Description: ribonuclease P RNA component
Rfam family: Nuclear RNase P
About the family: Ribonuclease P (RNase P) is a ubiquitous endoribonuclease, found in archaea, bacteria and eukarya as well as chloroplasts and mitochondria.
Source: RNAcentral